Molecule: ribosomal RNA, 429 nt
Filed under: uncultured Bacteriovoracaceae bacterium
Lineage: Bacteria; Pseudomonadati; Bdellovibrionota; Bacteriovoracia; Bacteriovoracales; Bacteriovoracaceae
Description: bacterial SSU rRNA
Rfam family: Bacterial small subunit ribosomal RNA
Source: RNAcentral
UAGGGAAUAUUGCGCAAUGGGGGAAACCCUGACGCAGCAACGCCGCGUGAGUGAGGAAGGUCUUCGGAUUGUAAAACUCUUUUAUUAGGGAAAAAUGGUUAGGGAGCUAAUACCCCCUGAUUUGAUGGUACCUAAAGAAUAAGCACCGGCUAACUUCGUGCCAGCAGCCGCGGUAAUACGAAGGGUGCAAGCGUUGUUCGGAUUUAUUGGGCGUAAAGCGCGCGCAGGCGGAUCAGCAAGUCAGAUGUGAAAUCUCAGGGCUCAACCCUGAAACUGCGUCUGAAACUGCUAGUCUAGAAUGUCGGAGGGGGCAGGGGAAUUUCACGUGUAGGGGUAAAAUCCGUAGAGAUGUGAAGGAACACCGGAGGCGAAGGCGCCUGCCUGGACGACUAUUGACGCUGAGGCGCGAAAGCGUGGGGAGCAAACAGG